RNAcentral lists this ribosomal RNA (637 nucleotides) under uncultured fungus. RNAcentral's name for it is "eukaryotic LSU rRNA". It matches the Rfam family "Eukaryotic large subunit ribosomal RNA", at positions 24 to 664 of the family's 3401-position model. Lineage: Eukaryota; Fungi. The record is from RNAcentral.
CCCGCUGAACUUAAGCAUAUCAAUAAGCGGAGGAAAAGAAACUAACAAGGAUUCCCCUAGUAACUGCGAGUGAAGCGGGAAAAGCUCAAAUUUAAAAUCUGGCGGUCCUCUGGCCGUCCGAGUUGUAAUCUGGAGAAGCGUUUUCCGCGUCGGACCGUGUACAAGUCUUCUGGAACGGAGCGUCAUAGAGGGUGAGAAUCCCGUCUCUGACACGGACCGCCGACGCUUCAUGUGAUACGCUCUCGAAGAGUCGAGUUGUUUGGGAAUGCAGCUCAAAAUGGGUGGUAAAUUCCAUCUAAAGCUAAAUACUGGCGAGAGACCGAUAGCGAACAAGUACCGUGAGGGAAAGAUGAAAAGCACUUUGGAAAGAGAGUUAAACAGUACGUGAAAUUGUUGAAAGGGAAACGUUUGAAGUCAGUCGCGUCGGCCGAGACUCAACCUUGCUUCUGCUCGGUGCACUUCUCGGUUGACGGGUCAGCAUCAAUUUUGACCGCCGGAUAAAGGUCGGGGGAAUGUGGCAUCCUUCGGGAUGUGUUAUAGACCUCGAUUCGGAUACGGCGAUUGGGAUUGAGGAACUCGGCGCUUUGCGUCCAGGAUGCCGGCAUAAUGGCUUUAAGCGACCCGUCUUGAAACACGG